UCUCAGAGUCAAUCAGCAAUGCUAAUCAAGUCUGUGUGCUUAGCUAGGAUUUUGGACCUUCUUACGUGAAGGCGUCUGAAAGGAGGUCCCCUUUCCUGAAGGCUGACUGUUGCUUUGUCUCCAGGGGUGUUCCCUACAUGCCAGAGCUAAGCACAGGGUUGGAGGCUAGGGAAUGGAAAAGCUUCCCAAUUCAGGCAUUUCUGGAAGCAGUUGUGGCUAUUUCAGGGGGAGCUACAAACACAAGGCAAAGAGUCUUUUGAUCCCACACUUCUGUGUGAGCUUCGGAGAGACAAUCUUCCGGAUCUGGUGGUGACUUUUAAAAAAAGCGUCUCUGGAAUCCAUCCCCAGGCAGGCAGAAUUCGGUCUGAAGAUGCUCCCCAAGAGCACCUCAAAGAGCACCAGCAGGCCUUCCUCGGCAGGGACCUCCUUUAUCCAUGAGCGUUCUCUUCCCAGCCUCAUGUCCCACGGGUCCCUCCACUCUCUCCCUGAAGUCAGAUGGCGCUGGGGUUUCCCUGCGGGAACCACCCGCACAUUCGUGAGUGGAGAGAGUGCCAGCCGGGAGUCAGGCUCACUUGACUGAAGCUCCGCUUCCCUCGCUCCCCACCCACCCCUUCCGCGGCUCAGCCUGGAUCCCGCUGCUCGAUUCUCCAAGUGCCGCGUUCAUGCUGGAAGCCAGCGUUCCCCACAGUGUCUUCUGUGAAGACAAAUCCUGGGAGACGUUGGCGUUCCGGGAGAAGAAAUCGAUUCCUCAAAAAUAAGCAAAUUUUUAAUUUAAGGUGAUGUUUCAAGGAGACGUCGAUAUAUUAACGUGCUUUGCGAGUGUUUAAGAGGAAGGGGUGAAGGGCAGGGUUCUCCAAAGUUGUUGGCUACCUGGAG
Molecule: long non-coding RNA, 876 nt
Filed under: Homo sapiens (human)
Lineage: Eukaryota; Metazoa; Chordata; Mammalia; Primates; Hominidae
Description: non-protein coding lnc-SLC15A4-8:2
Source: RNAcentral